CUAGCCGUAAACGAUGGGUACUAGGUGUGGGGGGUGUCAACUCCUCCCGUGCCGGCGCUAACGCAAUAAGUACCCCGCCUGGGGAGUACGGCCGCAAGGUUGAAACUCAAAGGAAUUGACGGGGGCCCGCACAAGCGGUGGAGUAUGUGGUUUAAUUCGACGCAACGCGAAGAACCUUACCAGGGUUUGACAUCCACUGAAUACCUAAGAGAUUAGGUCGGCCCCUUCGGGGGACAGUGAGACAGGUGG
RNAcentral lists this ribosomal RNA (249 nucleotides) under uncultured Bacillota bacterium. RNAcentral's name for it is "uncultured Firmicutes bacterium partial 16S ribosomal RNA". It matches the Rfam family "Bacterial small subunit ribosomal RNA", at positions 796 to 1041 of the family's 1533-position model. The record is from RNAcentral. Lineage: Bacteria; Bacillati; Bacillota.